AGUCGAGGGGCAGCAUGGUCUUAGCUUGCUAAGGCCGAUGGCGACCGGCGCACGGGUGAGUAACACGUAUCCAACCUGCCGUCUACUCUUGGACAGCCUUCUGAAAGGAAGAUUAAUACAAGAUGGCAUCAUGAGUCCGCAUGUUCACAUGAUUAAAGGUAUUCCGGUAGACGAUGGGGAUGCGUUCCAUUAGAUAGUAGGCGGGGUAACGGCCCACCUAGUCUUCGAUGGAUAGGGGUUCUGAGAGGAAGGUCCCCCACAUUGGAACUGAGACACGGUCCAAACUCCUACGGGAGGCAGCAGUGAGGAAUAUUGGUCAAUGGGCGAGAGCCUGAACCAGCCAAGUAGCGUGAAGGAUGACUGCCCUAUGGGUUGUAAACUUCUUUUAUAAAGGAAUAAAGUCGGGUAUGCAUACCCGUUUGCAUGUACUUUAUGAAUAAGGAUCGGCUAACUCCGUGCCAGCAGCCGCGGUAAUACGGAGGAUCCGAGCGUUAUCCGGAUUUAUUGGGUUUAAAGGGAGCGUAGAUGGAUGUUUAAGUCAGUUGUGAAAGUUUGCGGCUCAACCGUAAAAUUGCAGUUGAUACUGGAUAUCUUGAGUGCAGUUGAGGCAGGCGGAAUUCGUGGUGUAGCGGUGAAAUGCUUAGAUAUCACGAAGAACUCCGAUUGCGAAGGCAGCCUGCUAAGCUGCAACUGACAUUGAGGCUCGAAAGUGUGGGUAUCAAACAGGAUUAGAUACCCUGGUAGUCCACACGGUAAACGAUGAAUACUCGCUGUUUGCGAUAUACGGCAAGCGGCCAAGCGAAAGCGUUAAGUAUUCCACCUGGGGAGUACGCCGGCAACGGUGAAACUCAAAGGAAUUGACGGGGGCCCGCACAAGCGGAGGAACAUGUGGUUUAAUUCGAUGAUACGCGAGGAACCUUACCCGGGCUUAAAUUGCAGAUGAAUUACGGUGAAAGCCGUAAGCCGCAAGGCAUCUGUGAAGGUGCUGCAUGGUGU
RNAcentral lists this ribosomal RNA (996 nucleotides) under Phocaeicola vulgatus. RNAcentral's name for it is "bacterial SSU rRNA". It matches the Rfam family "Bacterial small subunit ribosomal RNA", at positions 60 to 1051 of the family's 1533-position model. Lineage: Bacteria; Pseudomonadati; Bacteroidota; Bacteroidia; Bacteroidales; Bacteroidaceae. The record is from RNAcentral.